AACUUUUGGCAAUGGAUCUCUUGGUUCUGGCAUCGAUGAAGAACGCAGCGAAAUGCGAAAGUAAUGUGAAUUGCAGAAUUCAGUGAAUCAUCGAAUCUUUGAACGCACAUUGCGCCCGCCAGUAUUCUGGCGGGCAUGCCUGUCCGAGCGUCAUUUCAACCAUCAAGCCCCGGGCUUGUGUUGGGGACCUGCGUCUGACGCAGGCCCUGAAAACCAGUGGCGGGCUCGCUGUCCACACCGAGCGUAGUAACUAACCUCGCUAUGGAGUGGCGCGGGCGCCUGCCGUAAACCCCCCAAUUUUACAAGGUUGACCUCGGAUCAGGUAGGAAUACCCGCUGAACUUAAGCAUAUCAAUAAGCGGAGGCU
This 366-nucleotide unclassified non-coding RNA is filed under the name uncultured Zopfiella. Its description in RNAcentral is "sequence contains ITS2". The stretch from base 1 to 153 matches the Rfam family "5.8S ribosomal RNA". Lineage: Eukaryota; Fungi; Ascomycota; Sordariomycetes; Sordariales; Chaetomiaceae. The record is from RNAcentral.